RNAcentral lists this ribosomal RNA (484 nucleotides) under uncultured bacterium. RNAcentral describes it as "partial 16S ribosomal RNA". It matches the Rfam family "Bacterial small subunit ribosomal RNA", at positions 29 to 507 of the family's 1533-position model. The record is from RNAcentral.
AUUGAACGCUGGCGGCAUGCUUUACACAUGCAAGUCGAACGGCAGCGCGGGCUUCGGCCUGGCGGCGAGUGGCGAACGGGUGAGUAAUACAUCGGAACGUGCCCAGUAGUGGGGGAUAGCUCGGCGAAAGCCGGAUUAAUACCGCAUACGACCUGAGGGUGAAAGCGGGGGAUCUUCGGACCUCGCGCUCUUGGAGCGGCCGAUGGCAGAUUAGCUAGUUGGUGGGGUAAAGGCCUACCAAGGCGACGAUCUGUAGCUGGUCUGAGAGGACGACCAGCCACACUGGAACUGAGACACGGCCCAGACUCCUACGGGAGGCAGCAGUGGGGAAUUUUGGACAAUGGGCGAAAGCCUGAUCCAGCAAUGCCGCGUGUGUGAUGAAGGCCUUCGGGUUGUAAAGCACUUUUGGCGGGAACGAAAAGGACUGUGCCAAUACCACGGUUCGAUGACGGUACCCGCAGAAUAAGCACCGGCUAACUACGUG